UGCACCUGAAGCAAGGAACUAAAAUAUUAUUUCAUGGGCAAAGCCUAAAUACUGUGAGAUGAAUUUGCAAGUAGGCUUGAACCACUUUCCACAGGAGUUAGUGUAAGAAACAUCACAUAGUCAAAUGUCUGUGGCUCCAAGACCCACAGGUCAUUAUUACAUUGCAUUUAAUGUGGUGCCCAGUGCUUUCACUUCAUCAGAGUUAUCACAGAUAUCACUGACAUCAACACCAACAUGAACUCACACAUGUGUGCCUUGAUCCAAAUAAUUCAUGAACACAUUACAAAUUACAGCUCUAGAUGUUUUAGGAUUAUUGUAACAUCUGCAUUUUCGCCCAGAAGGCAAGAGACCACCUGGGGUAUGGUGAGCUGGUUUCAGCCUGGGCACUUCAGGGAACACUACUUUACAUAUCCUUGACUUGUUUCUGGGUGAAAACUGAAGUGAAAUGUUGAUCUGCUCCCCUGAACCCUUGCAGUCCAAGGUUUGCUGUUUGUAGGUAUCUUUGUAGCACCACCAAUUUAUAGCUGUGGGAGUGAAGGCCCUCCCACCACACAGAGCAGGUUCAGGACCAUCUGAUGAAAGUGAAUAGCCACAAGUGUCUAGGACCUGGUGAGAUGCAUCCCAGGGUCCUGAGGACACUGGCUGAUGUUGUUGCCAAGCCACUUUCCAUCAUAUUUGAAAAGUCACAGUGGUCAAGCAAAGUUCCCUCGUGACUGCAAUAAAAGGGAAACGUUGCUCCUGAUUGCAAAAAGGAGAGAAAGGAAGAUAUGAGAAAUUCUUUACUCAGAAUUCUUUACUGUGAGGGUGCUGAGGCACUGGCCCAGGCUGCCCAGAGAAGCUGUGGGUGCCCUGUUCCUGGAACAGGAACAGGCUGGAUGGGGCCCUGAGCAUCCUGGUCUAGCAGAAGGUGUCCCUGCCCAUGGCAAGGUUCCUAAGGUUUCUAAGGUUCCUUCCAACCUAAACCAUUAUAUGAUUUUAUGAAAUGUACCACAGAAGUGUGGCUGAUAAAAUAAUAGCUCUCUGGAUAGAGUGCCCAGAAAGUUAAACAAAUAAUUCUGGCCUUGCAAAGUUCAUUCAACAAUUGAAUAAGGAGCAAAUACAUGCAUUGGCUAUGACAUAAGGAAAAACAAACAUUGACAUUCUGGUUUUAAUACAACUUGUAAAACCAAAAUAAAUAAAAAGUGAAUUUGAAUACAAAGACCAAUCUUAUGAAAGUCCAUUCUUUGGCAUGCUGUUAGGAACAUUUGCUCUUGCAUGGAUUUUGAAGUCUCUCUGGCUCGCUGCUGCUCUGCACGUACCUCGGAGGACAAGAACCUGCCACUGACUUUCCAGAUGCAGCAGGACAUGACACGUGGGACAGAAAGGAUUAUUGUGAGCAUGUACAUAAAUACAGCUUUUACAUCAUUUUACCUGUGUGGGGUAUGGCAUUUCAUAUACCAAUACAUGGUAAGUUAACCAGCACCCAGAAUUUAAUUCAUCCUCCAAACUGAUGCCUAGAGAGGCUGUCUGGAACAGAGGCUAGGCAGUGCUAAAGGAAUAAAGAAGGUAUUUAUUAAAAGGCCUUCAAAGGAUUCACCUUGGGCAGUACAAGAGCCUGGCCAUGGCUCCACCCAAGAUGGACCCAAGAUGGACAGUGUGUCACAAGUUUUCACACUUUUAUAAGUUUUGGUCCAUUUACAUAUUGGGGUUAAUUGUUCAAUUACAGCUUCAGAUUAUGAAGUCCCAUCCUCCCAGGUUGCUCUCCUGAAUUCACUGCUCUUUACACUUUUAGGGCCCAAAGCUGCAAUGGUGUCCUUGAUUCUCAGGCUGGGAAAGGAUUGUUUUGUCUAACUAAACUGUGAGGAGAAUUUGCUAACACUUCAUAUGAAGUUCAGAGUCACGCAUCAAAGCAUUACAGAAUCUUAAAAAUAUAAAAGCUAAAACUCAAGGCACCAAAAUCAUUAAAAAAUAUGGUGCAAUUAAACAAUACCUAAGAAGCAAGCAUAAAUAUUUUGCUUUGGGAAUGCCCACUGAACAGAUGAAGUAACUACAACUGAUGUCCUCUUCCUGGUCCUAUCAAAAAACACUGGGGUAAAAGUGAAAGGUUUGUACAUACCCACAUCUUCCCUUCCCACUGGAGCACUUUUCAGCUAGCCUGAACUGCUGGGAGAAUUCACAGAGAUGGGCAUUUUAUCAGACCGUGGUCUUCCAUUUGUGAGAUACAGUAAGUUUAAUUCUUCCUUCAUGGGUCCCUGAAUCGCACCAGUUUUCCUGCUCAUUCCCCUUCUUGUUUCAUGUUUUCAAUAUUUCUUAUUAGUGAGCUUAUGGAUUUUUUCAUCCCUUUAUCUUGGCUUCCCACUGAAGCCUGACCUCCUUCAUGUCCAAGGUUUGGACUCUGAUACAACUUGCAGCCAUCCCACUAUUGGAAAGGGCAAAAAAAGCAGAGUGUUUGCCCAGGAAUGGGUGUUUGUGCAGAAACUGCCUGCAGCCAGCCCUGUUGCUCUGGGAAUUCAGGAUGGAAUCAAGUCAGUGACUAUUUUUUAUGACAGUCACAACAGAACUAGUGACCUAGUGUGAGAAUGGAAACCCUCUGGAGUCUUUCUGACUACUAGUGUAUUCCACUUCCUGUGGAAACACAAACAUCAGAUGAGCCAUUGCAAGCAGAUUCCUCUUUAUGGUUACCUGCCUUCCCAAAUGCCCAAUUUGUUAUGGAAUGUUUGUAAAUUUCUGUGGAGAAUGAUUUCAUUUUAUCAUACAAGCUUCAGUCCAUCUUAGCAAUACUAUUGCUGCAGAGUGGAAGGGACUGAGCUGGAAAGGACUGUUGGACUAAUCAGCCAUGGCACAAAGCAAAAGAGAACACUUUUGAGUAAAUGGAGGGCACUAUGUGAAAGCUUGUUUCCAGAAUCACACCAUGGGGCUGAUGGGCUGGUUCAAAAACACACAAACACUUACAGGCUCUCCCAUCAGAGAGGUGGGAUUCGAUGGCACACAGGGGAGCUGUCUGCAGCCAGAGCUGCCCAGCUGCCCUGGUGGCAGUGAGGCUUCUCUGUGCUUUCAGGGAAAUGGUAACCAGCAAGUCAGAGGCAGCCACACAAGGUUCUCCUAUUUUAGCUUUGCUUGGUGUUUUCUUCCCAUCAGGUGUGGUGUGCAAUCAGUACGUUUUUCUGUUUACACAAGCAAAUUCUGCUGGGUGGGGCCUGUUGAGUUAACCUGUCUGUAAAAUAAGAGGGAGCAGCUGAUGGCCUGAAAUCCAGGCAAAGCUGAUGCAGCCAUGGCAUUCAGCUCUCCCAAGAUGUGAGCACAGGCUGCUACCUGAAAGGAUGUAUGUGACAGGUUUUAUCUGAGGAGCUCAGACACUGCUGGCCAUGUUCUUUUCUACCCAGACACUUUGUAAUGCAUUCUUCAGAUUAAGGUUGUAAAUGAAAAGUCAUCUCUUAUUUAA
This is a long non-coding RNA of Oenanthe melanoleuca, 3421 nucleotides long. RefSeq lists it as uncharacterized. Lineage: Eukaryota; Metazoa; Chordata; Aves; Passeriformes; Muscicapidae. The record is from RefSeq and is a predicted model, not a curated record. The transcript has 4 exons.